GACCGCGUAGCUCAGUUGGCAGAGCAUUGGGCUAGUAUUCCAAUGGUCGCAGGUUCGAUUCCCACCGUGGUGA
Molecule: transfer RNA, 73 nt
Filed under: Paramuricea clavata
Lineage: Eukaryota; Metazoa; Cnidaria; Anthozoa; Malacalcyonacea; Plexauridae
Rfam family: tRNA
About the family: Transfer RNA (tRNA) molecules are approximately 80 nucleotides in length.
Source: Rfam by way of RNAcentral